This 29-nucleotide non-coding RNA is filed under the name Homo sapiens (human). The record is from RNAcentral. Lineage: Eukaryota; Metazoa; Chordata; Mammalia; Primates; Hominidae.
UGGGCAGUAUAACCAGGGCAGAGAAAGGU